GCCAUUACUUGGCACUGCGGACAGCGUUGAGUGAGGGGGCUGUGACCGCUGAAUGGGGACUUGAAGGAUGAGAGGGCAACAGGAGCGGCAGCUCUUCCUCUGCCAGGAAAGGAACUUCAGGAGCCCAGGCCCCGAGGGCGGGAGGCGUAGGGUGGGUGUGGGGGCUCCUGCGACAGCGCAGACUUGGCGCGGACGGGUGCAGGGACUGCGUGGGAGCCUCCGGGGUCCCCGCGCUCCGCGACCCUGCGUGACCCGGGCGGCGAGGCCGUGCGGAGGAGGAGGGCGCGGGCGGGGCUCCUGGCGGGCUCUCCUCGCCUGGUUUGUUAUGCACGAGGCAGGCAAUUUGCCUUCCGCCCGGGGGACCCAUCUAGGAGACAAGAAGGUGACGAAAACUCCUCGAGAGGGAUCCAAGAAUGAGCAGCCUUGUCCCCUGAGGUCUGGCCCACUGCCUCCUGGUUCAGCAGAAAUGUGUCCUUCCUGGAAGCCCAGAGGUCCUAGGGAGAGAGGAAUCAGCCUGGGGCCUGGCCGGGCCUCCUGGAGCCACCUUCCGUGUGAGGGGUGAGGAAUCUGCUACUAGUUGACCAUCCCGCGGCGGAGAACGCCACCCACCCCAAGACAGCUCCUAAAAUGGAAAAGGCUGAAACUGUGCCUGGCUGUGGUCUCACAGAACACCGCCAGGCAGUGGAAUGGAUGUCCACGCAGGUAUCUGUACAGCCCUGGAUAGAGAGCAGGGACCUGCUGUCCACACUGUGCAGUGCUGGAGCCAUGUCCUGACAACUCCUCACCGCUCCUGUCUCAGCUUCCUUCUCUGUAAAAGGAGGGGGUUGCGUGUGGGCUUGGAGGUCCCACAGACUAUGAAUCUAUGGCUGUGUUAGGGGUACAGAGCAAGGGGGCUGCCUCAUGCAGGGCAGAGGUUCGGGAAGG
This 924-nucleotide long non-coding RNA is filed under the name Chinchilla lanigera (long-tailed chinchilla). RNAcentral describes it as "lncRNA (ENSCLAG00000028494.1)". Lineage: Eukaryota; Metazoa; Chordata; Mammalia; Rodentia; Chinchillidae. The record is from RNAcentral.